CGGCAUGCUUAACACAUGCAAGUCGAACGGUAACGCGGGGGCAACCCUGGCGACGAGUGGCGGACGGGUGAGGAAUGCUUGGGAAUCUGCCUGUUAGUGGGGGACAACCCGGGGAAACUCGGGCUAAUACCGCAUACGCUCUACGGAGGAAAGCGGGGGACCCUAAGGCCUCGCGCUAACAGAUGAGCCCAAGUCGGAUUAGCUAGUUGGUGGGGUAAAAGCCUACCAAGGCUACGAUCCGUAGCUGGUCUGAGAGGACGAUCAGCCACACUGGGACUGAGACACGGCCCAGACUCCUACGGGAGGCAGCAGUGGGGAAUAUUGGACAAUGGGGGAAACCCUGAUCCAGCAAUGCCGCGUGUGUGAAGAAGG
Molecule: ribosomal RNA, 372 nt
Filed under: uncultured bacterium
Lineage: Bacteria
Description: bacterial SSU rRNA
Rfam family: Bacterial small subunit ribosomal RNA
Source: RNAcentral